GGGAAGCCGUAGAGAAAUCGAGUCCGAACAGGGCGAUAGUCGCUGGGUGUAGACCCGAAACCAAGUGAUCUACUCAUGGCCAGGAUGAAGGUGCGGUAACACGCACUGGAGGUCCGAACCCACUAAUGUUGAAAAAUUAGGGGAUGAGCUGUGGGUAGGGGUGAAAGGCUAAACAAACUUGGAAAUAGCUGGUUCUCUCCGAAAACUAUUUAGGUAGUGCCUCAAGUAUCACCAUCGGGGGUAGAGCACUGUUAUGGCUAGGGGGUCAUCGCGACUUACCAAACCAUUGCAAACUCCGAAUACCGAUGAGUGCGAGCUUGGGAGACAGACGUCGGGUGCUAACGUCCGGCGUCAAGAGGGAAACAACCCAGACCGCCAGCUAAGGUCCCAAAGAUUGGCUAAGUGGAAAACGAAGUGGGAAGGCUAAAACAGUCAGGAUGUUGGCUUAGAAGCAGCCAUCAUUUAAAGAAAGCGUAAUAGCUCACUGAUCGAGUCGUCCUGCGCGGAAGAUGUAACGGGGCUAAGCCAGUCACCGAAGCUGCGGAUAUGCGUAAGCAUAUGGUAGGAGAGCGUUCUGUAAGCCUGCGAAGGUGUCUUGUAAAGGAUGCUGGAGGUAUCAGAAGUGCGAAUGCUGACAUGAGUAGCGAUAAUGGGGGUGAAAAGCCCCCACGCCGUAAGCCCAAGGUUUCCUGUUCAACGUUCAUCGGAGCAGGGUGAGUCGGCCCCUAAGGCGAGGCAGAGAUGCGUAGCUGAUGGGAAGCAGGUUAAUAUUCCUGCACCGUCGUAUGAUGCGAUGGGGGGACGGAUCGCGGAAGGUUGUCUGACUGUUGGAAUAGUCAGUUUCUGGUUCAUAGAAGGCGCUUAGGCAAAUCCGGGCGC
RNAcentral lists this ribosomal RNA (879 nucleotides) under Duganella sp. BJB489. RNAcentral describes it as "bacterial LSU rRNA". It matches the Rfam family "Bacterial large subunit ribosomal RNA", at positions 660 to 1549 of the family's 2925-position model. Lineage: Bacteria; Pseudomonadati; Pseudomonadota; Betaproteobacteria; Burkholderiales; Oxalobacteraceae. The record is from RNAcentral.